GGUGCACAUGAUGACAUUGUUCAGCGACCAAAGUCUGACAAAAAUGAUUGCUACUUGAUUGUCUGACGCACC
This is a small nucleolar RNA of Jaculus jaculus (lesser Egyptian jerboa), 72 nucleotides long. The record is from Ensembl. Lineage: Eukaryota; Metazoa; Chordata; Mammalia; Rodentia; Dipodidae.